GAAAUCCCCGGGCUCAACCUGGGAACUGCAUUUGAAACUGGCAGGCUUGAGUCUUGUAGAGGGGGGUAGAAUUCCAGGUGUAGCGGUGAAAUGCGUAGAGAUCUGGAGGAAUACCGGUGGCGAAGGCGGCCCCCUGGACAAAGACUGACGCUCAGGUGCGAAAGCGUGGGGAGCAAACAGGAUUAGAUACCCUGGUAGUCCACGCCGUAAACGAUGUCGACUUGGAGGUUGUGCCCUUGAGGCGUGGCUUCCGGAGCUAACGCGUUAAGUCGACCGCCUGGGGAGUACGGCCGCAAGGUUAAAACUCAAAUGAAUUGACGGGGGCCCGCACAAGCGGUGGAGCAUGUGGUUUAAUUCGAUGCAACGCGAAGAACCUUACCUACUCUUGACAUCCAGAGAACUUGCCAGAGAUGGCUUGGUGCCUUCGGGAACUCUGAGACAGGUGCUGCAUGGCUGUCGUCAGCUCGUGUUGUGAAAUGUUGGGUUAAGUCCCGCAACGAGCGCAACCCUUAUCCUUUGUUGCCAGCGGUUAGGCCGGGAACUCAAAGGAGACUGCCAGUGAUAAACUGGA
This 571-nucleotide ribosomal RNA is filed under the name Enterobacter sp. RNAcentral's name for it is "bacterial SSU rRNA". It matches the Rfam family "Bacterial small subunit ribosomal RNA", at positions 596 to 1167 of the family's 1533-position model. Lineage: Bacteria; Pseudomonadati; Pseudomonadota; Gammaproteobacteria; Enterobacterales; Enterobacteriaceae. The record is from RNAcentral.